GUAAGAUUCCAUGGUUGUAUCGAUGGACCAAGGUUAACUACGGGAACAAUCAUCAUCACUACCAUUACCACAGCCGUGACAAAGUGCGGGUCCAUAUUUUACUAAAAAUUGUCUGGCACUGUAAAAGCUUUUCAGUCAACUAGAAGCUACCGAAUUCUAUUGUUGUCAAGGUGAAAGUUUAAAUUUUAAUCAUUAAGAUUGGCAGAGUCCAGCCAAACAAAUGCAGGGAUGUUGACACUGUUACUUUUCAAAAACAAAAGGCUUUAUAAACAAUAAGAUGCAGAGACACAGAAAGUAACCAAAGAAAAGUUCUUUUGCAUUCUAGAUGUAAAGCAAUGGUGUGUCUCAACAAAAAGGCAAGUCACA
This 366-nucleotide unclassified non-coding RNA is filed under the name Hevea brasiliensis (rubber tree). Lineage: Eukaryota; Viridiplantae; Streptophyta; Magnoliopsida; Malpighiales; Euphorbiaceae. The record is from RNAcentral.